This is a long non-coding RNA of Planococcus citri (citrus mealybug), 1621 nucleotides long. RefSeq lists it as uncharacterized. The transcript has 2 exons. The record is from RefSeq and is a predicted model, not a curated record. NCBI's taxonomy places the organism in Eukaryota, Metazoa, Arthropoda, Insecta, Hemiptera, Pseudococcidae.
UUCAUGGUUUCAUGGGACAGGUUCACCUACUUAGUUUAUCCAAUAUCUCUUGUACCUAAUUGUUUUCUAUGAGAGUUUCUACUAAUCUGUCACUUUGAUCAUAAAGUAUUUUCGUAAAAAAGAGCAUUUUUGACGCGUUUUCAGUAGGGAUUGUUGUUCGAAGUUCGAAUCGCUGGAAUUAGUUCAUUCGAUCUACCUAUUGUUUGCCAGAUUUCAGCCUCAAGUGAUCCUUCUGUACUUACUGGGACAAUAUUAAAUCAAAAUGAUUGAUUUUGAUUGGGAUUUGUUUUUUCGAAAAGUACCUACUCUGCAAGAUUUAAUCAUUGACCAAAUGGCUCGGCGUUUAUGGCAUGAUGAAAUGAUUUUAAAACGAAAGUCCGUUAAAUCCACGUGUUCGUACCAUGGUAACAGUAAGGACAGUGAAACAUCUAUGGAUAUAACAUUUGAUUCAACAAAUCCACUGUUCAGGAUAUUGAAGAUUGGUCAAAAAAUUACUUCCGAUGAAUCGAAGCCGGCAAAUUCAAUUUGUAUACCCUCCAAAAUUGAAUAUGUGAUUAAGCAGCGUGUUUUGAAAGUCGAAACCGAAAUCAAAAAGUGGCUUCAGUAUCACCGCGAAGAAGUGUUCAAAGGACCCAUUUACCACAAUCAUCAAAUUAAUAUUUUGAAUCGACUCGAUUUUAAUGAAAUAACGUACGAUAAUAAUUGCAGAAUCAAUUACAAGAAAACUGCUCGAAAAAUGCUAGCUUGUAAAAAGUUUUCUGCGAUAGAUAAAUUUAUGAUUGCUAGCGCGUACUGUUUCGGACAUGACAUUGCACGGAUGUGGCCCGCUGUAUCAAGAGUUCUUCAUCGUUAUGAAUUUUCAUUUGAUUUAUAUCCUCUACCGUAUUAUUGGAGAUGUCAAAUGACAGGUCGUUUAAAUGAACUGCCGAUUGAGGUUCAAAGAGAUGUAAGAAGAAUCUGCCCACUUGUGGGAGGUAAUAUACUAGCAUGGGAGCACUUUUAUGAAAUCUUGAUGGGUCGUCGGAAAGUGAACUUGGACGGUAUUUACAACGUUUUCCGUUGCGCUUAUCCGCAAAGUAUAGAAAUAACAGUGAAAAAGUAUUUUCCUUCAUUUAGCGAAGAUGCUUUAAAAUAUGUCUUUUCGAAGUACGGUUCCCUCAUAAUGAUUCGAUUGAUUACGACUUCCAGUCUUCGGAAAUUCGUGUUACCAAUAUGGUUACGCGUCAAUCAUAUAAUCGAUGGCGAUACGCUGCUUCGUAUUUUUCAAGAGAUACUAUCAAAACAAGAUCCAGGAAAAAUUAUUCAAUUUUUAUUCAGAGAAAUAUGGCAUCAUACUUCAUCUGAAUUACGAAGUUACGUUUUAAACUAUUUCCAACGUUCGAAUUCGUUCAACGAAUUUAGGACUUUGAUGUAUGAAGAAUGACGAGAUUUUUAUGUUUUAUAAUUUAGUAUACAUAUGUGCCUAUAGUGUAUAAAAGAAUGACGCGAUUUUGUACCUAAUUAUUCAUACUCAUUCAUUGUACAUAAUGUUGUGAUCUAUUGACGUGCUGUAUCAUUUAAUAAUAAUGAUUUUUUUACUCUAGAUUUCAUUUCUUGUAAUAAAAAUGUAGUCUUGCGUAAA